AGUGAACGCUGGCGGUAGGCCUAACACAUGCAAGUCGAACGGCAGCACAGUAAGAGCUUGCUCUUACGGGUGGCGAGUGGCGGACGGGUGAGGAAUACAUCGGAAUCUACUUUUUCGUGGGGGAUAACGUAGGGAAACUUACGCUAAUACCGCAUACGACCUACGGGUGAAAGCAGGGGAUCUUCGGACCUUGCGCGAUUGAAUGAGCCGAUGUCGGAUUAGCUAGUUGGCGGGGUAAAGGCCCACCAAGGCGACGAUCCGUAGCUGGUCUGAGAGGAUGAUCAGCCACACUGGGACUGAGACACGGUCCAGACUCCUACGGGAGGCAGCAGUGGGGAAUAUUGGACAAUGGGCGCAAGCCUGAUCCAGCCAUACCGCGUGGGUGAAGAAGGCCUUCGGGUUGUAAAGCCCUUUUGUUGGGAGAGACAAGCAGCAGGUUAAUACCCCGCUGUUCUGACGGUACCCAAACAAUAAGCACCGGCUAACCUCGUG
Molecule: ribosomal RNA, 492 nt
Filed under: uncultured bacterium
Lineage: Bacteria
Description: partial 16S ribosomal RNA
Rfam family: Bacterial small subunit ribosomal RNA
Source: RNAcentral